UUGUUGCCUGCUGAGGAGUAGGGAAGGCGCUGGCGUUGGGGCACCAGGGGACAGGGGGCAUCCCAAGGGCCUUUUGUGUCACCAGCACAGUGUUGCCGAGUGGGCAGUGGUUCGCCCAGUGACGGGGACGGCGGCUGUGGCCCCUCACCCGGCACCGCGCCCCCCCUUUAUUCACUGACUUCAGGGAGCAGCGGGAGUUUUCCUGAGGAGACUCUCUAGAGAGACGUGGGGGGGGGGCGUCAGUCUCGGGAGGGCGCUGGCCCGGUCCCCGCCACCAUACAGGGUCCCCCAGCACGGUCGGAGCGAUCACCUCGAAAUCUCCAAAGAAACCCGGGUGUGAGAAGCAGCGUGGGGCCGGGGAGGAACAUGAGCUCGGGGGCUGGAUCGAUAGCACAGCGGGUAGGGCGUUUGACUUGCACCUGGCCGACCCAGGUUCGAUUCCCAGCAUCCCAUAUGGUCCCCUGAGCACCGCUAGGGGUAAUUCCUGAGUGCAGAGCCAGGAAUGACUCCUGUGCAUCGCUGGGUGUGACCCAAAAAGCAAAAAAAAAAAAAAAAAAGAUUUCUUUUGCGGCUGGAGCGAUAUCGCAGCAGUUGGGCAUUCACCAUUCACACGGCCGACACAAGUUCGAUUCUUCCACCCCUCUUGGAGAGCCCGGCAAGCUAACGAGAGUAUCAAGCCCGCGAGGCAGAGUCUGGCAAGCUACCCGUGCGUAUUGGAUAUGCCAAAAACAAACAAUAAGUCUCUCAAUGAGAGAUGUUACUGGUGCCCGCUCGAACAAAUCGAUGAUCAACUGGAUGACAGUUACAGUGACAGUGAAAGUGACAGUGUUUGGGGUCAAACCCAGGGAUGCUCAAGGAGUACUUACAGCUCAGUGUUCAAGCAUCCCCCAUGCCAGGUCUUAGGAAUCUUUUGAUAUACUGGAAAAAUAGGCUGAUUUGUUCAGGUUUGUUUUCUGAGACACAGAAUGUUCCUUGAUGUGGCCGUAAGCUUCACCCCCAAAGAAGAACGUGCCUGCACGCUGCCUUCAGAGGAAGCUCUACGGGGACUUGAUGCUGUAGACCUGCCAGCAACUGUAGGCUGUCGCUGGGAGCCAUGUGUGUCCGACUUUCCUGGAAGAUCCACCGGGGCUCCUGGGUUACUCCUGGCUCUGCACUCAGGAAUCACCACUGGCCGUGCUCAGGGGACCAUAUGGGAUGCUGGGAUUCGAACCCGGGUCGGCCACGUGCAAGGCAAACGCCCUACCCGCUGUGCUAUCGCUCCAGCCCCACACCUGGUAAUUCUUAAGGGUCACUCAAGGUGGUGCUCAGACCCCAUUUUGGAUGCAGGAAUGGAAUUCACGUCGACCAAGUUCACAGCAGGUGGCAGCGCACUGUACUCUCUCUCUGUGUUUAUAAUUUUGUUCUGGAACUGCCUCCUGGGUUUUCCUUGGAGAAAAGAAUCUACUACUUGUGUGUUAUCAAGGGGUAGAGUGUUGACUGGACAGUGCUCUCUGAUGUCUUACCAGCCCUUGCUCCUGUUCCAGUGUCUCUCCAGGUCUCUGGGCUGCUGCGUGGCCAGUUCCUCUCUGCAUCUUCAGGGCUGACUUGGGCGUCACUGCUUUUACCCCACCUUGAUAGAUGACUUCCCCCGAAACUCAUUGUCCUGUGCCCCACACGCUCCCUAUCUGCCUGUUUCCCUUGAAUGAGCCCCCUUUGUGUUUCUCCUGAUGGACUGUGUGAGAGCAUUGGUUCAUUGUUUGCCCAGCACAAGACCAGAGGAUACUCCUUACUCCCCACUAGCCCCCACUGUGUGACAGGCCAUUCCAGCAGCUCCCUCUCCACCCCUUUACGCAAGCCCACCCCCUCGAGCCACAGAUUCAGCUGGGUGGUGAUAAUGGUUCUCUGAACAUCUGAAGUCUGGACCUUUAAGGCUGCUUGCUGAAAUGUAAGUGACAUCACAGUGGGGCCUUCCUGGUGAUUCUAUUCCUGGAAAAGGGUGAGAGUCAUUGUUCACCUGGGUAAAGGACAAAGUGGGCCCCCUGCGAGCACUCGGGGAUCUGAAGGCAGAUUUUGUGGCAGGACGGGGGCAGACUCUCAUGAGUGCUCAGCGCCUCCCCAUCUCCAUACUGAGCUGAGGAUCACCACCAGCUUGGGGGGCACUUUUGCACUUGUUUUUCUCUUAUUCCCUGAUAUCCAGGUGGUUCCUGAGGCGCGGCAGAGCUUUGGGGGGUGCAGGGGUUGAGGGUGUGAGUAUAUGAUCUUGGGGGGCUCCUGCAGCCACAAUCGCCUCCAGCUCUGAGAUGGGCCAAUGGCAGGAAUUUCUGCUUCUUCACAUCAAGUUGCAAGCUCUGCUGAGACUCCUGGCUAUGAGUUUCUUUUGACAGGGAGACUAUGAAGGAAUGGAGCAGUCAUUGGAAUCCUCCUGUGCAUUGUACAGGGAAGCAGCCAACCCCAGUGGAAUGUCUCUGAUCCUGCAUUCUGUGACAAUAUCUCGGAGUCAGCAAUCUCGCCCUCUGCUCCAUGGGGAUGCUGAGAAAGGCCUAAUGUCUUCUGAGGAUAUCAGUGUGGAGAGAGCGACCUCACUGUGAAGAAACUCUCACCUGGGAAAAUUUCCUCACAGUCUAUUCUCCUCAGUUUCUGGACACAAAGCCCUCAAAGGCAGCAGCCCCGGGACUGUGGGAGAGGAGCACCGUUUAUAGUGAGUCCCACAUGCCGACAUUCGCAUAAGGAAAGUCACCAUGUACUGACCCUGUCCAAGAAUAAUGUUCUCUUAGAAACCCACGGUAGACAGAAUCCCCAGGAUCGUUACCAGGGAGAACAAACUGAGUCAGGUAUCAUCGCAGUGUGUCAGUGCAAAGGUUCCAAACUGGAGUGAAACCGUUUAUGUAUACAGACUGUGGGAACACUUUCACUGCCCCCUCAAAACGUAUUAUACAUCAGAGAGUUCACACUGCAGAGAAACCUGAUGCAUGUGAGCAAUGUGGAAAGUCUUUUACCUUGCCCUCACAACUUAGUGUCCUCAGGGAAAUUCAUACAGGAAUGAAAACUUACUCAUGUCAGGACUGUGGGAAGGCCUAAACUUGCUCCUCUGAUCUCUUUCAUCACAGAAAGAGUCAUUCUGGAGAGAAACCUUAUUCACGUCAGGACUAUGGAAAGGUCUUUGCUUAUCACUCAAGCUAUUCUAUGCACAAGGAUAAUCACACUGGAGAGAAACAGUGAUUCUGUAAGACAGGUGGAAAGGCCUUCACUUGAUGGGCAGCCCUUAAAGGGCACAUGAAUACUCACUCUGGAGAGAAGUCUUAUAUAUGUCAGGAGUGGGGGAAGAACUUUAGUAGAUCCUCAGUUCUUACUGUACAUAGGAGAAUUCAUACUGGCUAGAAACCUUAUAAAUGUAAGGCAUGUGGAAAGGUCUUCAGUGAUUUAUGAGCCCUUAACAGACGUAUGAAUACUCAUACUGGAGAAAAGACCUUUGUAUGUCAGGAAUGUGGGAAGACCUUUAGCAGAUCCACGUAUCUUACUGUACAUAGUAGAAAUCCCAGCAUUAUGUAUGUCAGGAGUUUUGGAAGACCUUCAGCAUGUCCUCCUAUCUUACAGUACAUAGGAGAAUUCACACUGGAGAGAAGCCUCAGAAUUGUUAUGUUUGUGGGAGGACCUUCACUCACCAGUCAGUCUUUACUCAGCAUAUGAGAAGUCAUACUGGAGAGAUGCCUUAGUAGUGUCAGGAAUGUGGGAAGGCCUUUAGCUCAUGCUCAGUGCUCACUGUACAUAGGAGAACUCAUUUGGGAGAGAAGCCUUUUGUAUGUCAGGAGUGUGCGUAGACCUUUCUCAAAUAGUCAGAGUUGACUAGACAUAACAGAAUGCACACUGUCGAGAAACCUUAUAAAUGUAAGGCAUAUAGAAAGUCCUUCAUUUGAUCAUCUGCCCUUAAAACACAUAUGGGUACGUACAGUGCAGAGAAGUCUUAUGUAUGUCAGGAGUCUGGGAAGGCCUGACAUACAUAAGGCAUUAUACAGUAGUAGGAUAGCCUUAAUACUUACGUAUACUCAUAGGAGAAUUCACAUUUGAGAGAAACCAUAUUAGUGUAAGGACUGUGAGACAGCCUUCAUCAGCACCAGCGAUUUCAUACUAGAGAGAAAUUGAAUGUGAGAAAUGUGGAAAAGUUUCUCAUGCCUUUGUAGUCAUAGGAACAAUAUUGGAGAGAAGCUUUAUGUUUCCCUUUUUACUCCCUUUUUAAAAUUUUAGUUCUGGGGUUCUGAGUCGUUUUGGGUGGUGUUUGUUGUAUAAUCUGGAGAAUAGGGAUAUCCCCCACAAAUUAUGCAAGGAUGUGAAUCGGAUCAAGUAGAGACAUUGCUGUGAAAUUAUUUUGUAAGUUAUAAAGUGAGACCGUGACAAGCGACCCGUGGCAUACUUGAUGUGCCAAAAAUAUUAACAAUGAUGGUCCUCAUUCAGCUGACCCUGAGAGAGCCCCCAAUAUACCAUCAGCUUACACUGGUAUGCGCCGGGGACAAAUGGAGAUGUUACUGGCGCCCGCUCGUACAAAUUGAUGAACAACAGGAUGACAGUGAUACAGUGAAUUUAUAAACUGCCAUUUGAACAUUAGGCACGCGGAUGUGGCACAUAAAUAUAAGUUGGUGUUUCUGGCUUUAAUCUUUAUUUUAAAUUUGGCUUAUUAGUAUAAAGUAGCAGAUUAUGUUAAAGAAAUUUGGGGGAGAAAUGAUGUAUUAAUAAGGUUUUGGGGAAAGUGUUCUGAUCACUGUUAGGUCAUAGAAAUCAAUAAGACUUGCAGUGUAUUUGGGUCAUUUGUAUUCGGGAUAAUUAAGUGGGUAAUCCCCUCUGGUCACUUUGUCUUCUGACAUCUUCUUGCUGUGUGCUGGCCUCCUCUUACCACUUCAUUAGUCCUAACUUCUCUUCCAGGCAGUGACCUUUACAGUGCAGCCAUAUUUUCAUUCAUUAUUAGUGGGCUUAUAUGUUGGGCCGCUCAUUAGAUUGGACUGAGUGAAAUCAUCAUUUUGGUUGGUUAAAAACUGUCAUUUCAGCUUGCUCACCCUAAUACAAUAGGAACUCAAUAAAGUGUUGCUAAUUCUCUCAUUGGAUCAAUAAACCAAGCAGGGUGUUUUGCUGUAUAUCUCCUUGGAUCAUGGGUUUUUAUGAUAUUUUUAUGCUUCGAAUCCCUUGUCAGAAUAAGAAUUUUUGGUGCUUAAAAUGCAUAUCUACAAAUAAUUCCAUUUACAUUGAAAUACAGUUAUCAAAAUGAAAAUCCAAACUUGUCACAGA
Long non-coding RNA from Sorex araneus (European shrew), 5253 nucleotides. RefSeq lists it as uncharacterized. The transcript is spliced from 7 exons. NCBI's taxonomy places the organism in Eukaryota, Metazoa, Chordata, Mammalia, Eulipotyphla, Soricidae. The record is from RefSeq and is a predicted model, not a curated record.